UGAAUACGAGAUGCUACGGCGUCGAAGCAGUCUAUGUCAUACUUCCAAGAAAAGCUUGCACUGUCAUAAACAAAUAAUGCCUGUACCAUAACCGACACAGGUGGGUAGGUAGAGUAUACUAAGGGGCGCGAGAUAACUCUCUCUAAGGAACUCGGCAAAAUGACUCCGUAACUUCGGGAGAAGGAGUGCCUUAUUUAUAAGGUUGCAAUAACAAGACCCAAGCAACUGUUUAUCAAAAACACAGGUCUCCGCUAAGUCGUAAGACGAUGUAUGGGGGCCGACGCCUGCCCAGUGCCAGAAGGUUAAAGAAGUUGGUUAGCAUUAGCGAAGCUGAUGACUGAAGCCCUGGUGAACGGCGGCCGUAACAAUAACGGUCCUAAGGUAGCGAAAUUCCUUGUCGGGUAAGUUCCGACCCGCACGAAAGGCGUAAUGAUUUGGGUACUGUCUCAGAGAGGGACUCGGUGAAAUAGACUUGUCUGUGAAGAUGCGGACUACCUGCACCUGGACAGAAAGACCCUAUGAAGCUUUACUGUAACCUGAAAUUGAAAUUGGACUUUAUUUGCGCAGUAUAGGUGGGAGGCUUUGAAGAUAUUCUUGCGGGAAUGUUGGAGCCAUCAGUGAGAUACCACUCUUGUAAUGUUAGAUUUCUAACUUUGUAUCAUUAUCUGGUCAAAGAACAGUUUCAGGCGGGCAGUUUGACUGGGGCGGUCGCCUCCUAAACGGUAACGGAGGCGCACAAAGGUUUCCUCUGAACGGGUAGAAAUCGUAUCUAGAGUGUAAAGGCAUAAGGAAGCUUGACUGUGAGACCUACAAGUCGAGCAGGGACGAAAGUCGGUCUUAGUGAUCUGACGGUGCUGAGUGGAAAGGCCGUCACUCAACGGAUAAAAGUUACUCUAGGAUAACAGGCUGAUCUCCCCCAAGAGUUCACAUCGACGGGGAGGUUUGGCACCUCGAUGUCGGCUCAUCGCAUCCUGGGGCGGUAGUACGUCCCAAGGGUUGGGCUGUUCGCCCAUGAAAGCGGUACGCGAGCUGGGUUCAGAACGUCGUGAGACAGUUCGGUCCAUAUCCGGUGUAGGCGUUAGAAUAUUGAGAGGAGCCUUCUCUAGUACGAGAGGACCGAGAAGGACACACCUCUGGUGUACCAGUUAUCGUGCCAACGGUAAACGCUGGGUAGCUAUGUGUGGAGCGGAUAACCGCUGAAAGCAUCUAAGUGGGAAGCCCACCUCAAGAUAAGUAUUCCC
Molecule: ribosomal RNA, 1241 nt
Filed under: metagenome
Description: bacterial LSU rRNA
Rfam family: Bacterial large subunit ribosomal RNA
Source: RNAcentral